This 1093-nucleotide long non-coding RNA is filed under the name Bos indicus x Bos taurus (hybrid cattle). RNAcentral's name for it is "lncRNA (ENSBIXG00005006892.1)". Lineage: Eukaryota; Metazoa; Chordata; Mammalia; Artiodactyla; Bovidae. The record is from RNAcentral.
AUGCUCCCCAGGACUGGUUCAGGCCCUUCACAAACACGUUGGUCCUGGGAAGAAGCCUCGCCAACCCUUCCUGUUACUUGCUCAGAAAUAAGCUACCUCAUCACACAUCCUGCCCAGGUUAUGCUUUCUGGGGAUGGAAAGAAAAACCUGAAAUUAGCAUACUCAUUUAAACUAUCUGUCACUAAAAGAAUUGUGCUUUUUUUUUUUUUUUUUAGGGUAACAGCUGUCUUUUUAAUUAACGAGAGUCACAGAUACACGAUGCUCACAAAAUAUUGCACCGCACAUUCUGUUCACCCCUGGCGGGCCGGGUGCACCCUUCCAUCUCGCGAUGGAAUAGACAGCAAGCCAGCGCAGCUGCAGAAACAGCGAGAGAGCAGGAGAAUGUGGACUCUCAGGGCACCCCAGGCAGAGGCCGGAGAGGCAGGCCUGGGGCAGGUCUCAGAAAGCUCUACCCUCCGCAGAGCUUGCACUCAUCCUCAGGAAAAUUCAGGGAAGAAGCAGCUACUGAUCUGUGAGCCACAACCUGACUUCACAGGGAAAGCUCUCUGGACACCACAGCCACUCCUGGGUCCCCUGGCAAACUCCGGUCAGGUCAGCAUCUCCACGGCCUGUCCAGCACCUCGGCCAUCUUCACAGCAUCCCAGAGCCUGGGGGUAGACGAGCUCUCCUGGGAGCGGAGCGAGGGGAUGAAGGGCUAGGGGCGUCUUUGAGAUUGAUCCCAGAGGAGCAGCUGCAGCCGCCCGUGCAGCCCCUCCAUCGGCUCUGCCCAUUCCCCGCUGUGUGCCAGCAGCUCUUUAGGGUCCAGGAGCAUCGGCAUCCGUGCUGGAGGAGGGCUCAGGCCACGCCUUUCCUGCCACGCUCACAGUGUUUCACCGGUCCCGGUGCCCACACACCAGCGGCCACAUCUUAGCCCCUGGACUAGCCAUGCCCUUCUAUUUAUGACCAAGGUGAGUCCUGGCCACGGAGAAAAGGAGGCGCGGCCAAGGUCAAGAGGCAGCACCGUAACUGCAGGCACCUGCCCUGCUGAGAAGAGCCCAGGUCUCCUGUGAAGCUUGCACGACGUGGAAUAAAACGUGUUAGCUCACUGGGGACA